Molecule: ribosomal RNA, 253 nt
Filed under: uncultured bacterium
Lineage: Bacteria
Description: partial 16S ribosomal RNA
Rfam family: Bacterial small subunit ribosomal RNA
Source: RNAcentral
UACGUAGGGGGCAAGCGUUAUCCGGAAUUACUGGGCGUAAAGCGCACGCAGGCGGUUCGCCAAGUUUGGAGUGACAGUUGUCGGCUCAACCGACAAAGGACUUCAAAAACUGGUGAACUUGAGGACGAGAGAGGAGCAUGGAACUCCAGGUGUAGUAGUGAAAUGCGUAGAUAUCUGGAAGAACACCAAUGGCGAAGGCAAUGUUCUGGCUCGUUUCUGACGCUCAGGUGCGAAAGCCAGGGGAGCGAACGGG